Molecule: ribosomal RNA, 253 nt
Filed under: uncultured bacterium
Lineage: Bacteria
Description: partial 16S ribosomal RNA
Rfam family: Bacterial small subunit ribosomal RNA
Source: RNAcentral
UACGUAGGGUGCAAGCGUUGUCCGGAAUUAUUGGGCGUAAAGGGCUCGUAGGCGGUCCAUCGCGUCGGGAGUGAAAAGCUGGGGCUCAACCCCAGUCCUGCUUCCGAUACGGGUGGACUAGAGGUAGGCAGGGGAGAACGGAAUUCCUGGUGUAGCGGUGAAAUGCGCAGAUAUCAGGAAGAACACCCGUGGCUAAGGCGGCUCUCUAGUACGGUACUGACGCUGAGACGCGAAAGCGUGGGGAGCGAACAGG